AACUAAGUUUGUUAUUGGUACUGUAUGAGCUUUCAUGUGCAUGCACACGUCUUCAGAUACUGAUAUCUUCAGAUACUGAUAUUUGAAGAAGUGUGCAUGCACACGAAAGCUCAUACCAAUAACAAACUUAGUUGG
Molecule: microRNA precursor, 135 nt
Filed under: Podarcis lilfordi (Lilford's wall lizard)
Lineage: Eukaryota; Metazoa; Chordata; Lepidosauria; Squamata; Lacertidae
Source: RNAcentral